ACUAACAUUUGGAGAAGUAGCGUAUUUUACUCAAAAUUUCAAAAAGACUGCUUUGAUUAUCACUUGUUUUCUUCUCAGCAUGUAGUGGGAUUCACCUUCUUGAAGAUAUGUUUCAGAUAGCUGUUUGUCCAAGGAGAAUGAGAGACAUGUGAAACCAACCUGAACUUAACCUAUAGUUUGGAGCCAAACCCAACAAACCCAGCCUAGGUCAGCUGAACUCCAGCCAACUGCAGAUACUGGUACCUCCAUCAAUGAACAGAAACUUCUUUAUAAAAUAUCUUGAAAAUGCUGUUAUGUCUCUCAUUAAAAGCCUUAUGACUUAGAGAGGGCAGAAAGUAUUAUCAUCUUUAUUUUACAGGAAAAAAAUGGAAACUGAGGAAAGCGACUUACUCAAGACUAGUCAGUGGAGCCAUAUUUCAAAAAUCAACUUUAAUCUUCAAGUUUUUCUUUCAAAACCUACUAUUUGUCAACUAUCUGCAUUAUGUAUAUGGUACAAGUUUCUGCACCAAAUCAACGACUGCUGUUAAAUCUAUACACACAACAAAAUAUUUAGUACAGUCAAAUAUACUUGGCUGCUCUAAAGAAUGCUGAGGUAUGCAAUGUUGUGGUGGUUGACAUGACCAUCCCAAAAUUAACUAUCAGUAUAAAUGAGGUUAUUGAAUUUUCCCCACAUUUCUAGCUUAACUGUUAAUAUUUAUCACACGACUGAGGAGUGCAUCUAAGAACUUACUUGAGGUCAGUCCUCUGGGAUCUGCUUAUUACAUUUAUUAAAAAUAUUGGAAAUGUAAUGCUCUGUUCUCAUGCUGCAAUAAAUUCUUUGUGCUGUUAAUCUGUAUGAAAAUAUUUGGGUUUCUAUUAACCUAACUGCAAGAUUUCAGCCUACAUUUUCUAUCUGAUUGGAAAUAAGUCAUGGGUUCAGAUGGAAUUUAUAUCUCAGAAAGGAGGUAGCUGUUGUUAAGAAGCAGAAAAAUGAAAAUAUCAUUCAUUCCAAAACAGUUCUCUAAAAUCACAUGCACACUCAAACAAUAGCCACUUUGCUUAUUUCAUUAUAAUGGCAAUAAGCUCCAAAGCUUUAAGAAGAAAGAUUUUCACUCUUGCAUUGAAAACUGAGGUGCAUUUGUGCAUUGAGAGAGAAGUAUAUUAUAUUUUCAAUGAGAAAAUUAUAGUUAUGUCACUCACUUUGCAGUGAAAAUUAGAAUAAAAUUAGAGGUAAUUUGAAAGUCUUUCAGGAAAAGUUAAUAUGAUGCUCAAAUAAUGUAGCCAUGCUUAGCGUCAAUCAGUGAAUAGCUUAUUUUCCUUAAUUAUAAUUUUUUAAAGUAAGAAAGAAAGCCCACUUAAUAUGUCUAUACAUAGUUUAGCAUUUAAUCAUACAUUUUUGUAAUU
Molecule: long non-coding RNA, 1383 nt
Filed under: Homo sapiens (human)
Lineage: Eukaryota; Metazoa; Chordata; Mammalia; Primates; Hominidae
Description: HSALNT0041641
Source: RNAcentral